Molecule: long non-coding RNA, 217 nt
Organism: Teleopsis dalmanni
Lineage: Eukaryota; Metazoa; Arthropoda; Insecta; Diptera; Diopsidae
Exons: 3
Source: RefSeq, a predicted model, not a curated record
GUUUGUUGCAGGAUAUAAUCAUUACCGCUGUCACUCAAAUCUGAUACCAAUAAUAUUAAUACUUUUGUGUAUUACUCUAUACUUUUGUUUGUACUGAAGAUAACGUCACUAACCAUCCCUCGUCUCAUUUUCGUUGUAAUAAUCCAAGUAACUAUUGGUUGCUCAGUUUACACAGACUUCUAUUACAUAUUCGAUUCAACACACCAUGUUUGCCAAC